Molecule: ribosomal RNA, 253 nt
Filed under: uncultured bacterium
Lineage: Bacteria
Description: partial 16S ribosomal RNA
Rfam family: Bacterial small subunit ribosomal RNA
Source: RNAcentral
AACGUAGGUUCCGAGCGUUAUCCGGAUUUACUGGGCGUAAAGCGCGUUCAGGCGGUUCGGCAAGUCGGGCAUGAAAUCUCUCGGCUCAACCGGGAGAGGUUGUCCGAUACUGUUGGACUUGAGGGCAGUAGAGGGUGGUGGAAUUCCGGGUGUAGUGGUGAAAUGCGUAGAUAUCCGGAGGAACACCAGUGGCGAAGGCGGCGUUCUGGACUGCAACUGACACUGAGAGACGAAAGCCAGGGGAGCAAACGGG